GCCAAACAUCUCAACAUCUUUAAAUACAAGAUGAAUUGAAGGAUCAAAGCAAGAGUUUGAAAACCAAAAAUAUUCAUAUUGAGUGAAAUCUUCACUAAACAUAAACUCUUCACAAACAUCAAACUCCAAACUCCAAACCACUGCUCUAUAUCUUUAGAUCAUUAUAAUCAUUUGAGUUUGUUCAUCAGAAUCUCAAACAUGAGUUGAGAAACAUCUUUGAUCCAAAACCCACUCAUCAUACAAAUUUUAUUUUAUUCUUAACUCUAUUCAUUACAAUAGUCUGAGAAAGAAUUAUAGAAGCAUGCUGAUGUUGAUAAUACAGAGUGCUGAGUGUAACAGAUUGAUCUGGUGUGAUCAAGGACAUAUAGUGCUAUUCAAAAGUUUCUGAUAGUUGGAUACCAUAGUGGAUAAUCUCAUACGAAGUGCGAGGACUGGAAGUAGCCACGUGCUUUGGAUGUAUCUGAUAAAUCCCUUGUGUUAUCUUCUUACCCUUACUCUUUUAUUAUUUUCUUUAAACACUACUCACACACUAUCACGAUCAUAAUAUUUGAUAAUAACCUAUCCAAAACAAUCUGGACCUAAUUAAAUAUAACUGUUUAAUAUUUAUAUAGAGCACUCUAGUCUUUAAUUAAUCAUCAACAUUGUUUUAUCAUUCUUCUUCUAAAUCAACCAUAUAAUUGUUAUCCAGAACAUUAUGGUCCUCGAUAAAACAAUUGCUUAAUUACCAAGACAUUCCACACUUAAUUAUAUUGUUUUAUCAUUUUCCAACUAUAUAAUUAUCCAGAACAUUAUGUUCCUUGAUAAAAUAAUUGCAUAAGACAUUCUAAUCUUAUUUAUUUAACCUUCACCAAGAAUUUUCUUGAGUACAUAAACUUGUUAAAUUUCAAGAUUAAAAUUUAAAAUGAAAUUUUUUUUAAGGAAAAAAUAGAUUUUUUUUUUUAAAAACUGAAACAAACACUACAAAAAUAAAAAUAAAAACCAUGUUUUUGGUUAACAAUAUUUUUUUUUUUCAAAAAAAUCCAAAACAAACGGGUCCAUUAUAAAUUAUUCAAUAUUGAAACCAAAUAUUUAGUUAAUAAGUUCAAAGUAAUGUAUGUAGUUUGUUGAGAUAUUUAUGAGAAAUCAAAAUAUUAAUAGUAAUUAUAAUUUAAUAUAAAUAUGACAAACAUUAACGCUUGCAGUUCUACUUUAAAUUUGAUUCGAGUUUGAACACCCCCAGUGGCUUAUGCUUGCAAAGAGGGAAACAUUAAUGCUCCAAAGUGAUGGAAAAGAUCACUAGGAAGAAUAUUGUGCAACAUAUCCAUCUUUCAGAGACCCUGAUUGUUUAUUAUAUCCCCUAUAGAGUAGUAAGCUCAUGAGCUUAACAUCAUCCCUACUUGUCUUUUGUUAUGAUUCAAAUUGGACAUAGAAGUAAUUACACUUGGCAUAAUAUAAUUUGUUGAGGCAAAUAGACAUGUAACUAGUGAUUCUAAGAUCAAGGAAGGUUUGGUUGUGCAUAAAUAGGGGAAAGAUUAUCAAUAAUGGUUAUGAAGAAUAUUGAUGAAGUCACUGCUCUUUACCCUUUGGUACUCGCUAGUUAAUGGCUAGUCUUAUGACUCAUUCUUCUUCUAUCUUUUUCCUUUCUUCUUUUAUGUGCCAAGAACACAACUCUAAUUUGGUUCUCAUAUAUGAAUAAUCAAUUGCAAUUAUCCA
Molecule: long non-coding RNA, 1692 nt
Filed under: Medicago truncatula (barrel medic)
Lineage: Eukaryota; Viridiplantae; Streptophyta; Magnoliopsida; Fabales; Fabaceae
Description: long non-coding RNA (MTRU_LNC002417)
Source: RNAcentral